Long non-coding RNA from Quercus lobata, 332 nucleotides. RefSeq lists it as uncharacterized. NCBI's taxonomy places the organism in Eukaryota, Viridiplantae, Streptophyta, Magnoliopsida, Fagales, Fagaceae. The record is from RefSeq and is a predicted model, not a curated record. The transcript is spliced from 3 exons.
CAUGCAACCUCAAUUAUGUUGGUCGGCGAUACACCAUCACACCCAGCCCAGCCUAGUCGGCGAUACACCAUCACACCCAACCCAGCCCGUCGAAACUGGUCCACAAAGUCUUUUCCUCCAUUCAAAUCAAGGUCAAAGCAUAUUCCUUCGCCUUCCUUCAUCAAUAUAUAGCAUCGACUUUUCUUUGUGUUGCAGCUAGGACAAGAAUUCCGAACAUAUGGAAGUCGAAAACCAUAAGGAAGGUUUUUUCCAUCGAACGAAGGUUUGUCACAAUUCACUAGCACUAAUAUAAAUGCCAAUAAUGUAAAUGGUACAAUCCAUUUAUACUCCAU